Molecule: unclassified non-coding RNA, 206 nt
Filed under: Hevea brasiliensis (rubber tree)
Lineage: Eukaryota; Viridiplantae; Streptophyta; Magnoliopsida; Malpighiales; Euphorbiaceae
Source: RNAcentral
UGGCGUUCCUUCGAAACUGAUGAUUCAGGUAAAUCCCCAUCCUUGCCAUAUACAGCAGCUAAGAAUGCGAUGCUUUGGAUGGUCUUACCAAGUCCCAUAUCAUCUCCAAGAACUCCUCCAUGAUUAUUCUGAUACAAGCUAUACAAAAAUUUCACUCCUUCUCGUUGAUGCUCCAAAAGCCUACAGUUUAUAGAUGCUGGAACCUG